Molecule: ribosomal RNA, 254 nt
Filed under: uncultured bacterium
Lineage: Bacteria
Description: partial 16S ribosomal RNA
Rfam family: Bacterial small subunit ribosomal RNA
Source: RNAcentral
UACGUAGGGGGCAAGCGUUAUCCGGAUUUAUUGGGUUUAAAGGGUGCGUAGGCUGUGAGGUAAGUCAGCGGUGAAAUGCCCCCGCUCAACGGGGUGAAGUGCCAUUGAUACUGCCUUGCUGGAAUGCGGAUGCCGUGGGAGGAAUGUGUGGUGUAGCGGUGAAAUGCAUAGAUAUCACACAGAACACCGAUUGCGAAGGCAUCUCACGAAUCCGCGAUUGACGCUGAUGCACGAAAGCGUGGGUAUCAAACAGG